Non-coding RNA from Paramuricea clavata, 296 nucleotides. Lineage: Eukaryota; Metazoa; Cnidaria; Anthozoa; Malacalcyonacea; Plexauridae. The record is from the annotation of a GenBank genome assembly.
GUCACCCUGGACUGUAGGUGCAGCUGUAGCUGGUGGUGUUGGUGCACUUGCUGCAACCCCUGUUGUCUUGACUGCAGCUGGUUUUACUACGGCUGGCAUAGCAGCAGCUUCGGUUGGAUCAGCCAUGAUGUCUGCAUCUGCAACUGCUAGUGGUCCAGUUGGAGUUGUUGCUGGUGGUCUUGUAGCUACUCUUCAAUCAGCUGGUGCAGCAGGAUUGGGCUGGGCAGGAUCUGCUGCUGUAGGAACUACUGGAGCUGUGGCUGGAGCCGCCUGUCGCAAAGUAAUGGAAUAUGUUA